GUUUUUGGUGUUUUUU
RNAcentral lists this small RNA (16 nucleotides) under Arabidopsis thaliana (thale cress). Its description in RNAcentral is "ATSL071250". The record is from RNAcentral. Lineage: Eukaryota; Viridiplantae; Streptophyta; Magnoliopsida; Brassicales; Brassicaceae.